GGGGGGGUUUGGGCAUGGGGGGCGCCACCGACGCCGAACCCGUGCUUGGUCCUCCCAGCCGCCCCAAACCCCGCUGACGGUGUCGGACGACGGCGCCUUCGUCUGCUCCGUGAGCACGGCCCGCGGGCAGGUGCAGCAGGUGCUGCGGCUGCGCGUCCUCGGUCAGUGCGCAGCGGGCGGGCACCGGGCUCCUGGGGCUCCCGGGGCUCCCUGGGGAUCCCAGUCCCUCCCAGUUCCCCCCCCAGUUCCCUCCCAGUCCCUCCCAGUCCCCUCCCAGGCCCUCCCAGUUCCCCCCCAGUUCCCUCCCAGUCCCCUCCCAGUCCCUCCCAAUCCUCUCCCAGUUCCCUCCCAGUCCUUCUUAGUUCCCCCCCAAUUCCCCCCAGUCCCUCCCAGUCUCUCCCAAUCCCCUCCCAGUCCCUUCCAGUUCCCUCCCAGUCCCCUCCCAGUUCCCCCCAGUCCCUCCCAGUCCCCCCCAGUUCCCUCCCAGUUCCUCCCAGUUCCCUCCCAGUUCCCUCCCAGUCCCUCCCAGUUCCCCCCCAAUUCCCCCCAGUCCCUCCCAGUCUCCCACACUUUCUGCUCAGUCAGGCCUCAGAUAUCAGGCCCCGUAAUCAGCUCCACUGCUUUACUCUGUUUUAUUCCCCAUACGGGGACACCAGGGCUCUGCCCAACGGGGGUCACUGGGGAUCAUCCAGCCCGGAUCCUCCCAUGGGGGAUGGAGCUGGAGCAGUGCACCAAGCUCUUCCCUCUCUCCAAGCUCUUCCCUUACUCUCUUCCCUCACUCCAAGCUCUUUCCUCACUCAGGGCACUCACAGGGCUUCCCUUAGUGUUGCCUCCGUUGGUGCUGGGUCAAGGCUGAGUUUGUGGAGAAGCUCUUCCCACACUUCCCACACUCGUAGGGCCUCUCCCUGGUGUGGAUCACCUGGUGAUUUCUCAGGUCUGAGCGCCACCCAAAGCUCUUCCCACAUUCCAAGCACUCGUAGGGCCGUUCCCCAGUGUGGAUCACCUGGUGCUUGAUCAGACCAGACCCAUCCCUGAAGCCCUUCCCGCAUUUCCCACACUCGUAGGGCCUCUCUCCGGUGUGGAUGCGCCCGUGCACAGUGAGGUAGGAGUUUUUCCUGAAGCCCUUCCCGCAGUCGGGGCAGCGGAAGGGCCUCUCCUCUGUGUGAAUCUGCUCAUGGAUACACUGGAGCUCGUCUGAAACCUCUUC
RNAcentral lists this long non-coding RNA (1207 nucleotides) under Chloebia gouldiae (Gouldian finch). Its description in RNAcentral is "Erythrura gouldiae (Gouldian finch) lncRNA (ENSEGOG00005018329.1)". The record is from RNAcentral. Lineage: Eukaryota; Metazoa; Chordata; Aves; Passeriformes; Passeridae.